This 572-nucleotide ribosomal RNA is filed under the name Halomonas caseinilytica. RNAcentral describes it as "bacterial SSU rRNA". It matches the Rfam family "Bacterial small subunit ribosomal RNA", at positions 79 to 648 of the family's 1533-position model. The record is from RNAcentral. Lineage: Bacteria; Pseudomonadati; Pseudomonadota; Gammaproteobacteria; Oceanospirillales; Halomonadaceae.
GCUAGGAGGCGUCGAGCGGCGGACGGGUGAGUAAUGCAUAGGAAUCUGCCCGGUAGUGGGGGAUAACCUGAGGAAACUCAGGCUAAUACCGCAUACGUCCUACGGGAGAAAGCAGGGGCUCUUCGGACCUUGCGCUAUCGGAUGAGCUUAUGUCGGAUUAGCUGGUUGGUGAGGUAACGGCUCACCAAGGCGACGAUCCGUAGCUGGUCUGAGAGGAUGAUCAGCCACAUCGGGACUGAGACACGGCCCGAACUCCUACGGGAGGCAGCAGUGGGGAAUAUUGGACAAUGGGGGCAACCCUGAUCCAGCCAUGCCGCGUGUGUGAAGAAGGCCCUCGGGUUGUAAAGCACUUUCAGUGAGGAAGAAGGCUUGUCGGUUAAUACCCGGCAAGAAAGACAUCACUCACAGAAGAAGCACCGGCUAACUCCGUGCCAGCAGCCGCGGUAAUACGGAGGGUGCGAGCGUUAAUCGGAAUUACUGGGCGUAAAGCGUGCGUAGGCGGCUUGAUAAGCCGGUUGUGAAAGCCCCGGGCUCAACCUGGGAACGGCAUCCGGAACUGUCAGGCUAGAGUG